UUUAUUUUUAUUCCACCUUUAUUUGAGUAAGCUAGUUGAGAACAAGUUCUCAUUUACAACUGCGACCAGGGGCCUGUUGCACAAAAGUAGAAUUAAGACAUCCGGGAUAAAUGACUCAGCUGAGCUCAAUGAAGCCAAAACAUGUGCGUCCAGGCUUAAUUGGUUGCACAAAGACCAAGCCAGGAUGAGCAGACACGGAUUCAUUAAGCCAGGUGAAACCAAUCCUGGAUAGGUGCGCGCUCACGGCUCACUCAAAUAGACCCCGCCACAGAUCACAGAUUAAUUGAUUUACCAUGGCAACUAGAGCCGCGUACUUUUCCCCGUCGGAAGCACAAAUCCUCAUGGAGGCAUACGAGGAGGUAAAAUAUAUAAUUAAGAAGAAAGGCAACACCGCCACAGUGAUAAAGCAAAGAGAAAAAGCGUGGCAAAGUAUUGCAGACCGCCUGAAUGCAUUAAACAUGAACGGGCCAAAACGGACAUGGCAGCAGGUCAAAAUCAAAUACAAGAACAUUCUGCAGAAUGCAGUGAAAAAGAAUACCCACAGACAAGGCACGGGUGGUGGGUCACCAAAGGCUGACCUUACCCCAGCAGAGGACAUGGCCUUGGAGCUAAAUAAAGGCAGGCCCGUCUUAGAGGGGAUCCUGGGGGAAAGAGACGAGCAUAGGUUCCUCCCAAGAUGCCACCCGCUUCAUUCAAGUGCCUGGCAGCACUGUGUUCCUGUUAGAGCCACCAGCACAAGCACCAGACGAUGCUGAUCCAGGUGAAGGCCCCAGUGCAGCAGCAACAGCACAUGAUGGAGACGAUGAUGAGGAGGAGACCAUCUCUCUGGAUUCCAGAAGGCAUGAGGUAUCAUGUUAAGACUGUGAAAGUACUAUUUACUCUACAAUGGUGAGGAGUCCUCAUCAAAAUCUAAUUUCUUUUACAGGACCCAGAUGCUAUACAGUGGGAAAACCAGCCUGGCAACAUAGUGCGUAUUAAUAAAAGGACACCACAUCCUGCCAAAUUCCAGCUGCGCUAAUUGUAUUGUGUUCACAGAGCUCACAAGCUAUCAGAAAGUUGUAUGGCAACCACCUCCGGCGCCAAAUAGAACUGGCAGACAUAGACAUUCAGUACAAGAAGAAAAAGAUGGAAAAUCUUGCACUGGAGUCCGAAAUAAAAAAGAGGACAAUUAGGAAACUGGACCUUGAAAUAAAAAAACUUGAGGGAGCUCCAAGAAGAUGACACAGCUCAAAAUAAAAAUUAGGUAUAUUCUCGUAAAGUCAAGUGAGCCAUGACAUAUGAGCUCUUAUUGUGAGCACACAGGACGGUGGCAUCUUUCUAAGGUUUU
Long non-coding RNA from Oncorhynchus nerka (sockeye salmon), 1327 nucleotides. RefSeq lists it as uncharacterized. Lineage: Eukaryota; Metazoa; Chordata; Actinopteri; Salmoniformes; Salmonidae. The record is from RefSeq and is a predicted model, not a curated record. The transcript has 6 exons.